AUUGUCUAUUCGUUCCGUUCCCCGCUCGCUCUCAGCUCCAUUUGGUUUGCUGCCUUUUCUGCGGUGAAAUCGUAAGAAACGAUUCUUAAUUUUGGAACCAAGGAUUCCUUUUUUUUUUUUGGCUACGCUUAUCAUUGAUCUCAUUUUCCUUGAUAUUUUUGUCCACGCGUUUGUUCCAUUCCUAAAUGGCUUGCGAUCGGUCGAUCUAAGAUUAGGGUUUCACUUCCCGUUCUUCAUUUUGUUUCUUGCUAAAAUCUACCUCGUUUUUGUGAAUUUUUGUCUGUGCAGAUUUAACGAGGGCACUGCCCCGAGAAUCUUUUGUACGAUCUACCAUUAUUUUUUUAUUUAUUUUAAUACAAGUUGUAGAUUUCAAAGAUCAUUGACCUCCAAAGUCACCUUCUAAGUUUAGGGUUUUGGAAUGAGAAAUGGAUUUGCUGUAAUUUGUGGACUCAACUUCUACGCUGGACUUAAUUAGAUCAAUAAAUUAGUCCUUAUUUUGGCAACCGAACCCUGCUUCGAGUGGAAAUGUGAAUGAAAGAAUUAGGAAAGAACAAGUAACAUCAACAAUGGGCGAAGUAGUUCAAAAGCUACGAGCGCCACUACUGUGAGAUCUCGGCAUCUCUGUCGCGCGAGUGUACAUCGACUGCUUCUCUGUGUGGAGGUAAGAUACAGUGGCAUGCCUUGUAAUUGAGAUUUAUUCUUAUGGUAAUCUAUUUAUUUGUGUGCUCUACAGAGCAGAAGAAGUAGAAAGUUUGUGAGAUUAAAGUUUAAACCUGGACUCGAUGAUGCAGAACUUUUGGUAAUAUUUGGACCUGGCCCUUUUUCUGGGUUCCUCAGUCGGAGAUUACCGGUGGUCUUACUUGAUAUUAUCGUGAUUAGGAGCUAGGCUGUUGCCCCCUCUCAUAAUUUGCAUAUGCUUUGGAUAAACUUGAUCAUAAAUUGGUUGUUGGGUGGUUGGUGCUACUUUACAAAAUUGGCAUUGGAUAGCCUGUCACUCUGUAUCUCCAACAUUAUAUGCCUGAAAACUUGUGGAGUGCGACGAUAAGUUUGAUCUCCAUAUCUGUUCCUAUAUCCAUCUUACCUUUGUUUUUCAAAGAUCAUAUAUUGUUUAGACAUUGUUUCUGUUUUUUACUUCAGUCGGUCCUUAGGAUCCCUGGUGUGUUUCCGUGGUUGAUCAGUUUCAGGAUAUUUGAAUAAGAGUAUAUAUUUUUUGAUUGCUAACAGACUUUCAGUGAAAAAGAAACUCACCUUGUUUACGGUGCAUGAAUCUUAUUACUAUCUACAGGAAGGCAAGUGUUUUUGCUAUUUAUCUUUUCACCAUGUGAAUCAGGAUGACAAUUUUAAUUUCUUGUACUUAAGUCCCUGGAAUACAAUUAUUCUUUCUUGUAUUGGAUGGAUCUAAAAUUAUAUGGAUCUAAAAUUAUAACACAAAGUGGAACUGAUGUAUGAAGCAAUACAGGAAGGGGAAUCGUGGAAAAUUCUUUAGGAGGUCCUAAAAUGGUAGAUGAGAACCACUAUCAUAAAAUGGAUUGUUGAAUGUAACUAGUGACUUGAACUGAGAAUAUCUAAGAAAGCUUCUGAUGCAGAAGUAAAAUGUUCCACAAAAAGUAAAACCCAAGACAAGAACUCACAACAGUAUCAUGCCUUAGGAAAUCAAGUCAUAAUUUGUUUGAAUAAAACGUCAGCAAUAUGGACCUUCAAAAUUUUGAGUGUUAUUGUUGUUGCUUAUGAGAUAUUUAAGGUAGUUAUUUAUUCAUUGAUUUUUCAGUAACUAGUGCUUUUUAAUAUAGUAUGUGUGUUUCAUUGGAUUAUGCCAUGUCAUAGAUCUCUGCUGAUCAAAGAUGAAAGCUGCUGAUGUCAACAGAGAGAUUAAACCAAUCUACUAAAAGUAGAUUGGUUAAAGGAGAGCAGAACAAUAUUGGGUGCAGAAACACUUGGUGUCUCAACUCGGCAAGACUUGCACCAACAGCAUCAAUCUCUCUUGCAUGCUUAUAAUGCAGCUACCUUCUGGAUGGUGAUCCCAAGAGGCAAAAUUCGGUACACAGAGGAAGUUUUGACUCGAUCAAGCGGGGAUCAUGUUAUCUUUAUGGUCCAGAUGAAGUAAGAGGGGGAUUGGACUGACGCAAUCAGCUUAGAGUUCGCAGAACUGCUAUUGGCAGACUUGAUUGAGAGUGAUGUUGUUCACUUGGGUAAUCAAAGAGUACCUGUCGCUAUGGAAGCAAUGAAAGCUUUUCUUACCGACUGUUUGGCACAAUAUGGAAUUGGUUUGUCCAUCCUACUUUCUCAACGGCGAAGUUCUCUUUCAGAUAAGCCAAAGAUCUUAUGGCUCACAUUGUUUAUGACCACAAUUGAUUUUUCUUACCUUCUUUACUAAUACAUUUAACCAGAGUACUUUUUCAUAACUCGUCAACAAACUAGAUUCCUGCACCAAACACAAAAAGUAAAAAAUAAAAAUAGGAAACAUUUCAAGGGAUUGUUUCAUCUGCUGAAUUCACAUAUGUUUGGUUUGAUUGAUUGUAUCUAUUGAAACUGAAUACAAGAUGCAUCUCAGAUAUGAUAUAAUUUUUCUAUUAAGAUUACUGCUUUUUGUAUGCAUUCCAUCAAAUGUAGCCUGAUGCUGCAUGAUUGCACUAUCUUAGGCAGUAGGUUAAAAGACAGAAUCUGCAAAGUGUUUGCUCUAGCCACAAGAAAAGUGGUGGCUUUCAAGUUUUGAUUUCAUUUCUGCUCGUCUGUUUUUCCCCUAAAUGGAGUAUUGAAUUGAUAUUUUUGAGCUUGAUUUGAAUUGCAGCUACAUGGAGUGGCUGAUAACAUUGGUAAGAGUAGGAAAUUCCCCACUGGCAUGUCGAAAAGAAUGGAUAGGAGCAAGUGGGCAAUCAAUAGCAUCGACAUUGUGCUGGUUUUGGACAAUUUGUUGAUCCUGUAGGUUGAGCUCACCCAUUAAGAAUUACUGCAAAUUUUGUUAAUUUAGUCUUCCAAUUCAUUACAUACUCGAGUGCUCUAUGUGGAUGGUUAUCAACUUUUUCAUGGAAAACGCUGCUUCGGUUUUUGAGUGUA
Molecule: long non-coding RNA, 3054 nt
Organism: Musa acuminata AAA Group (dessert banana)
Lineage: Eukaryota; Viridiplantae; Streptophyta; Magnoliopsida; Zingiberales; Musaceae
Exons: 2
Source: RefSeq, a predicted model, not a curated record